UCGAACAUAAACUUUUGAUACAGUAAACUUGCAACCCCCCUCCCUCUCUCUCUCUCUCUCUCUCUCUCUCUAAAAUGCAUGAUCUGUGCUCUUUCUCCCGAUGAUGUUCUUCUCCAAUACUUCUGCUCAUCAAUCUUCUUCUCCAACUCCACGCUAGAGCCUUCAUCGAUUCGGUUUCCCCCAAAAUUAACACCAUCGCAUUCCAAAUCUGAGGAUUAUUCAUCGUUCAACAUCUCGUCUCAUUACCACCUCCAAAUCCAGAUCCAAUCGAUCCAGUUGUCAUCAAUCGGUAAAUCCUCAAACGAUCCAGGCUUGAUUAACUUCGAUCAUCAAAAAGAUGAAGGUGUGAUGUGGUUGGAGUUCAAGGCGUCAACGACGUUUGUCACCAUCGAGGCUCCCAAGGAAUUCUACUUCCUCUUCCGUAUGUGACGAAGUCGGUCCACUCUUCAUACCAGAUUUAAUCAGCAACACAGAGAAAUAAAGCAACAACAGCCAACAAAAGUCCAAAACCAACAUCCUUAAGGGCAAAAUGGUCAUAAAAUAAAAAAAUAUGUAUAUCAGGCUCCAGGAGGGAAGAAAGAGCAGCGCUAAGUUGAGAACUACAACCAAAUAAAUUCCAGGACCAGUAGCACCAAUAAGAACCCAUUUGGAUUGAAACUAACAACAUCCGGGGGCAAAAUGGUCCAAUUCAGGGAAAAGAAAAAAAAUCCACAAAAAGCAUUACCAGAUGCAGAUUUGUAUGUGCUGAAUACCCAACAACCGACUUCUGGAAAGAUGAAGGGAUGACACUGAGAGGAAAGGGGCUAACUAUUCCUGAUUGGAGCUUUUUGCAUGGACUUUCUAGUAUAUUAAAGAUUUUGAAGAAUUUGUGGAAAAGAUAUUGAAGAGGUGAAAAAUAAUAAAUUGAAGAAAAUAUGGAAAUCUCGAUAUGAAGAAAUGAUAACAUUGUGAAUCUUUGUAGUUUUUUCAUAUUUUAUUUUGUAUCGAAUAAAAUACUUGUAUUAUUUUUUUAGAUUGAUUAAUGAAAAUGAGAUUUUUUAGAA
Molecule: long non-coding RNA, 1043 nt
Organism: Lactuca sativa (garden lettuce)
Lineage: Eukaryota; Viridiplantae; Streptophyta; Magnoliopsida; Asterales; Asteraceae
Source: RefSeq, a predicted model, not a curated record